AUGGAGAGCACCGGAUGCGAAAACGGUGCGUUCAAGAUGCGCCACCCACCAACACAACUACCCAACCUCUCAGUUGACAAUUUCUUGAGGCUGUAGUAUCGCUCCGUCUCUUCUUUGCAGGAUAGUCGGAGUGCGAAAAGCAGUGACUAAAAGAGAGAAAUGAGGCCACAGAUCGUGUUAUUUGGAGAUUCGAUAACAGAGCAGUCCUUUAGAUCAGGUAGUUGGGGUGCUUCUCUUGCUGACACUUACUCCCGCAAGGCCGAUGUGUUGGUUCGUGGCUACGGUGGUUACAACACUCGAUGGGCUCUGUUCUUGCUGCAUCACCUUUUUCCUAUUGACUCCACAAAACCUCCAGUUGCUGUCACAAUAUUCUUUGGGGCUAA
This 383-nucleotide unclassified non-coding RNA is filed under the name Hevea brasiliensis (rubber tree). Lineage: Eukaryota; Viridiplantae; Streptophyta; Magnoliopsida; Malpighiales; Euphorbiaceae. The record is from RNAcentral.